CCGAGUACCGGAGCCCUCGGGUUCCUACUCCCACCCUAUGUUGACUUUAAAACGUUGCUUUGGCAGACCGGUGAGUUCACCGCUGGCCCUGGUGGCUGGAGAGUCGUCUGCCAGAGGAAUUUUAAACUCUGUUAAUUGUAAAUUCCGAGUCUUGAGAAAUUGAAUCA
This 167-nucleotide unclassified non-coding RNA is filed under the name uncultured fungus. Its description in RNAcentral is "sequence contains ITS1, 5.8S rRNA gene". Lineage: Eukaryota; Fungi. The record is from RNAcentral.